GACGAACCACACAAACGUUGUCCGGAAUUACUGGGCGUAAAGCGUGCGCAGGCGGUUUCUUAAGUCAGAUGUGAAAGCCCCGGGCUUAACCUGGGAACUGCGUUUGAAACUGGGAGACUUGAGUGUGGCAGAGGGGGGUGGAAUUCCACGUGUAGCAGUGAAAUGCGUAGAUAUGUGGAGGAACACCGAUGGCGAAGGCAGCCCCCUGGGUUAACACUGACGCUCAUGCACGAAAGCGUGGGGAGCGAACAGG
Molecule: ribosomal RNA, 253 nt
Filed under: uncultured bacterium
Lineage: Bacteria
Description: partial 16S ribosomal RNA
Rfam family: Bacterial small subunit ribosomal RNA
Source: RNAcentral